This 382-nucleotide long non-coding RNA is filed under the name Spirodela polyrhiza (greater duckweed). RNAcentral describes it as "long non-coding RNA (SPOL_LNC000793)". The record is from RNAcentral. Lineage: Eukaryota; Viridiplantae; Streptophyta; Magnoliopsida; Alismatales; Araceae.
AGGGGAGGGCCAGAUGAACGGAGACGAAGGCAGAAGUGCGGAGAGUACGGUCGGCGAGCUCGAUGUCCUCCUGGCGGAGAAUGCCAGCCUGAAGAACCAGUUGGCGGAAGCCGCGGCGAGCUCAGCGGCGGCCCUGGCUAGGGAGGAGGAAAUGGGUACGAAGCUCAGAGACGCGCUGGAAGAGUCGGCCGCGAACAGGGCGAGGGCGGAAAGGCUGGGGAAGCAGCUGGAUACCGUGGAGGGAACAGUGGCGUCGCUCGAGGCGGAGAUUAAGACGCUGCGGGUCCAGACGGAGCAGUGGCGUAAGGCCGCCGAAGCGGCGGCGGCGGUGCUCUCGGCCGCCGCCGCUCCGAACGGGCGGCGGGUGACGGAGCGGUGCAGG